Molecule: long non-coding RNA, 3612 nt
Organism: Syngnathus acus (greater pipefish)
Lineage: Eukaryota; Metazoa; Chordata; Actinopteri; Syngnathiformes; Syngnathidae
Exons: 4
Source: RefSeq, a predicted model, not a curated record
AUUGUGGUGCACAGCCAAGUGAGGAGGUGCCUCGGUUAGAGUCCUGGUCCAAUGGAACACGGCCCAGCUUGGUCGCAAUGUGCGCGCUUGGCCAAUGGCGCACGCCCCCUCCUGCUCACAUGACGCCUUUCUAUAUGUUGCUUCUCCUCGCAGCGCUCAAUAGCGACCAGCCCAGGCAUCAUUGCAGACUUGACACCGGCCAAAUCGGACGACAAGCAUCUACGGUAUGUGCAGUGACAAUUUGUGCUUGAAAAAAAAAAAGAGAAAAGAAUAGAAAAAAAAAACAUCUUAUGAAGAUGUGCACAUGACUCUCACUGCCGAAGAAGGAAAGACUUUUUUCCGCAAGCAGACGGCCGGAGACGCACGGGGGCGAGACAUAAACGCCCAUAAGUUGCUGAAAUGAAUCGUCAUGUACAGGGCUGCCAUAAGAGGAAGAAGAAAAAAAGAAGCUCCAAAUGCCUCCAACAUGGAGGGGGGAAGAAGGGAUGCACCCAGAGACGAACAUGACAAGGAAAAGACAACCAUGAUGAAAGAGAGGUCCAGACAUGAUGGAGGCACGCACACACAUACAAAGGCACCUUGGGUCUGUCGGCGGUCUAACGCCAGCAUACCACCCCCACCAGGCACCAAUAGACAAGGCAACAUUCCAGCUGUGGUGAGACUGAGGAAGUCAAGACGCAUACACACACACACACACACACACACACACACACACACACACACACACACACACACACACACACACACACACACACACAAGGCCAGAGGUACGUGAGCAGAUGAGCAUUAAGUCAGGCAACUAAACAGAUCGGUUUGAUAUCAGCAGACAGACAGAGGAAGCCAGUCUAUACCUGCGGGCAGUCAGCAGCACCCUCACCAGGAAUGUCCUCCCACUUGUGAGACACAUAAAUGUAGCUGGGCUUUCCUCUCAAACAUCUACGUGAUCUGGUCUUCAAAUUUAUAGCAGUCAUCAGAAAUGUAUUUUGCAUUUAGAACAGCAAAUCUACAACGAUGGAAAGAUAAAAACAGAAUUAUCAACAAAACCAUUGCUUUAAUUAUUGGGAAACAAACGUUUUAAAGUAACACUAUCAUUCUACCUUAUAAUCAAGCUUUAUAACCACUGGUUGUAGACUGGCUGCCAUGGCAACCCAGCAUGACCUGCUAUUUGUGGUCAUUAUAAAGGUAGAACAAAGAAUAUCACCCACAUAAUGAACUCGAAUAUAAAAAGAAAGAAAAGCCUCUGUAUUGAAAUUAUAUUAGCACACAUUCACAUGCUACUCUGAUACUGACUACAGGCACUCCCUUUUGUUACUUUGGAGUAAUUUGAUCAUCCCUGCAUGAAUUUGUCUGUCUGGAAUUACGAGGACGUUCCAACGAGGUAACUGGUAUCAAUUGGGGAAACUUUGACGGUAUCAAUUUGCAAGACUUGCUUUGCUAGUUUGCUGUUGUGGGAACUCUGCCGGGAAAUGAGCUGUUGUGAGAAUUUAACUAUAGUCUCCAAGCAGAACCAAACUCUUUAGGUUGGACUAAAUAAGUAGUGCUAACAAUUCCCGUCUCCUGUACAGAUUUACGGACUCCCUCUUCAAACUAACAUUGUCAUUAAGCUCCUCCUGAAGAUUUACAUUUGCCUGAAGAAACCACCACCUACGCUUAUCUAAAGAUGACUCAGUAGCUAAAUGUCAGAGCUGUCCAUGCCAUUAAGGCCAACGACUUUGAAGGCUGGACACCCUGAAACCCCACCCUCACUUCCCCCUGUCUCUUCUUAUUCCUUUCUCACUCCCACUCUGACUUUGCCUUCAUCCACCAUCAUCCAUCUCCUGCACAUCCAGGCUGGUUUGAGGGCUGAUGUGUGCGUAGACCUUGUCAUUCACAUUAGGGUAACAAUGUCAGCUCAGGGCCCUUCCCUCUCUCCUUCUUUCUGUGCCUCUCUCAUGGCCUAGAUCAUUCUUCCUGUCACCCUCAUCCUGCGGCCAGAGAAGACCUUAUAAAGCAACAUCCUUCUCUUCCACUUCUGUCAAUUCCAACACUGUCAUUCAAAUCCUUGUCUGCCAGUGAGCAGAGUUUGCAAUGAAAAGCAAACACUUUAUUUUUAAUUGGGAUUUUGUGUGCAUGGAGGCAGAAGAUGAAAAUGCAGGGCAAUUAGGCAGCACUCUUUAACAACAGCCAUGAAUAAAAUUAAUAUCUAAAGUACUUUAAGGUUGAAAAUGUUGUGUCAGCAUGGUAUUUUGUUUCACAUUACCGAAUCAACUCAGCAACCAUCCAAUCUUUAAAAGUAUCCCAAAUUGCAGAUUUAUCUGCUGGCCUCUUGACUGAUGGCCUCUGAUGGACAGUUGCUUGAUUUUUAAUGAGCAGACUACUGACAUUGCCUGGAAGAGCAACAUUUCAAUGUUCAGUCAAAUGUUUCAUGCACGGCCCUGGGCGCCUUUAAGCGCCGAAAAGGAAGGUUUGCAUGAUAGUUAGCCCGAUUUGUAAUUUGGGUGAGUCAACAGUUUCAUUUUGCUCAUUGCAAGAGAUGACAUGAGAAUGCCCCCGGUAUAGACCACACCUAAAAACUGCCAUGACUCAGUUGUUUCAAAAUGACAUCUUCCUCUCUCCACUGCCAUUUUAAAGGAAAUGAAGCCCUUUGCUAAACACCGACUCUAUCCUUAGUGUCAUAAUGAGAAUGUGUUAGAGUUGCUACGUGCAUACAACACUUGGUGACAGUUUAGACAGGCCAGCAUUAACAUUGCUGACUUUGAACAAUGAGUGAGGCAAAGCCAGUCCUUUGUGCAAAGCCCUUGAUUGUGGAGUAUGCAGAGGCUCUAAAAUACAUUUUUUUUCUAUUCAUAUCAACAUAACGGUUUCCUUUAAAAACAAAAUUCACAGUGAUUAUUUUUUGGUGGCAGAUAUAAGUUAGGAUAUAUGCACACGCAUAGAAAAAUAUAUUUAGAUGUCAAGUAAGCUUAUUGAUGUGAUAUGUGUUUAGAAUUAGAAUGGUAUUCAUGCUUUUGCAGAUUGUGGCAUAGGCCAAUAAGUAGGGCAAAACUGUGUGAAACAUUGAACCCACGUUUCUUGAUCUCCCUGGUCACCAUCAGGUUUGUGCUUGCCCCAGUGAACAUUCAACGCUGUCGGUGAGUUUGGUUAAUAGAAGAACCAUCGACCGUUGAUUGUACCCUGUGGUAGGCAGUUAGCCAGAAAACAAAUAAAAGGUGCAGAAUCUGCACACAGGCUUUGGAAAUGACUCAUCGGCCCUUUUCUACAAGCAAGAUGACACCAUUUUGUUGUUGUUUACAAAAACCAACCACAAAGGUCACAAUCAACAUUCAUUGCUGUCGGUGGGUUUAACUGUAUAGAAGAGCUCACUGAACGAUGAAUGCAACUGUGUCCCAGAUUUCAGCUGACUUCACAACGAAUAAUGUCACGAUAUGCUGAUGAUGCUAUUGUUUAUAUCCGUGCCUGCCCUGCUCCAAGCCUUCCACCAAUAACAGGCAAACACGGACUGCGCAGACUGACAGGAAGUUCAGAUUGCAUCUCGAUCACACUGGCUGUGCUGGAGGGGUUUGAAUCUCGCAACAAAGGCAAAGCAGGAAUGGGGGGAAAAGGAGGGGUAAAGAUGCAGAGAUACUUGUGGGG